Molecule: ribosomal RNA, 497 nt
Filed under: uncultured bacterium
Lineage: Bacteria
Description: partial 16S ribosomal RNA
Rfam family: Bacterial small subunit ribosomal RNA
Source: RNAcentral
GAUGAACGCUGGCGGCGUGCCUAAUACAUGCAAGUCGAGCGAACAGACGAGGAGCUUGCUCCUCUGACGUUAGCGGCGGACGGGUGAGUAACACGUGGAUAACCUACCUAUAAGACUGGGAUAACUUCGGGAAACCGGAGCUAAUACCGGAUAAUAUAUUGAACCGCAUGGUUCAAUAGUGAAAGACGGUUUUGCUGUCACUUAUAGAUGGAUCCGCGCCGCAUUAGCUAGUUGGUAAGGUAACGGCUUACCAAGGCAACGAUGCGUAGCCGACCUGAGAGAGUGAUCGGCCACACUGUAACUUAGCCACGGUCCAGACUCCUACGGUAGGCCGCUGUAGGCAAUCUUCCGCAAUGGGCGAAAGCCUGACGUAGCAGCGCCGCGUUAGUGAUGAAGGUCUUCGGAUCGUAAAACUCUGUUAUUAGGGAAGAACAAAUGUGUAAGUAACUAUGCACGUCUUGACGGUACCUAAUCAGAAAGCCACUGCUAACUACGUG